AAAUGCCCAAGGCCUAUUUAUUUUUUGGGGUGGUAUGUGUCUGAGUAUUCAUAUUUUUAUUAUUUUGACUUGGCAUAAAACAGCUUAUUUCAAGAACUCAUUUUCCUUCUUCAAACAUUAUCAAACUAUUCACUAAGUUUCCAACCAGCUAAUUAAAAUCCUAACACCCAAAUCAUAAAAUAAAAUUCUUAAAUGUGGCCAGGUGCAAUGGCUAAUGCCUGUAAUCCUAGAACUUCGGGAGGCUGAGAUUAUGGGCAUGAGCCACCACGACCAGUGGCCCCUGAAUUUCUGACUGACCCAUUCUAAGCCUAUAUACAACCCCAUUUAUUUAUUUAUUUAUUUAUUUAUUUUUCGGGGGGACGAAGUCUAGCUCUUCCACCCAGGCUGGAUUACAAUGGCGUGAUCUUGGCUCAUUGCAACCUCCACCUCCCGGGUUCAAGCG
RNAcentral lists this long non-coding RNA (442 nucleotides) under Homo sapiens (human). RNAcentral's name for it is "novel transcript". Lineage: Eukaryota; Metazoa; Chordata; Mammalia; Primates; Hominidae. The record is from RNAcentral.